AAUGAACGUUGGCGGCGUGGAUUAGGCAUGCAAGUCGAGCGCGAACCCCGCAAGGGGGAGAGCGGCAAACGGGGUAGUAACGGGUAGGUGACGUACCCUCGGGUUGGGGAUAGCCACGGGAAACGUGUGGGUAAUACCCAAUAAUCUCCUGAAGCUUGAAGGUUUCGGGAGCAAAGGUGUGAUUCCACCGGAGGAGCGGCCUGCUUCGUAUUAGCUAGUUGGUGAGGUAACGGCUCACCAAGGCUUCGAUGCGUAGGGGGUGUGAGAGGAUGAUCAGCCACACUGGAACUGAGACACGGUCCAGACUCCUACGGGAGGCAGCAGUAAGGAAUAUUGCUCAAUGGCCGAAAGGCUGAAGCAGCAACGCCGCGUGGAGGAUGAAAUACUUUUGUAUGUAAACUCCUGUAAGAAGGGAAAAUAUUCCGAUUUAUCGGGAUUGAUUG
This 443-nucleotide ribosomal RNA is filed under the name uncultured bacterium. RNAcentral's name for it is "bacterial SSU rRNA". It matches the Rfam family "Bacterial small subunit ribosomal RNA", at positions 29 to 475 of the family's 1533-position model. The record is from RNAcentral.